GUGCUCACUUUGGCAGCACAUAUGCUAGAAUUGGAAUGAUACAGGAAGAUUAGCGUGGCCCCUGAGCAAGGAUGACAUGCAAAUUCAUGAAGCGUUCCAUAUUUUU
Molecule: small nuclear RNA, 106 nt
Filed under: Bos grunniens (domestic yak)
Lineage: Eukaryota; Metazoa; Chordata; Mammalia; Artiodactyla; Bovidae
Source: RNAcentral